This is a long non-coding RNA of Eriocheir sinensis (Chinese mitten crab), 641 nucleotides long. RefSeq lists it as uncharacterized. The record is from RefSeq and is a predicted model, not a curated record. The transcript is spliced from 3 exons. NCBI's taxonomy places the organism in Eukaryota, Metazoa, Arthropoda, Malacostraca, Decapoda, Varunidae.
UGAGAUGCACACUCCAUACAAGGCCGGACAAGGCAUCUGUAUAUGAACAGCAUCUGUGCGGGGGAGAAGAACUGGCGGAGACGACACAAAACGCUUAACCUCGAGGAAGCUGCUCUGGUGUGUGUGAGGCACUGACUGCAUCCUUUGGUGACAUCACAACACUCCUGCAGGUCCUCACUCACCUGUUCCAGUCCACAUGAGACCUGUGAAAACUGACUCGGAGCACUCCUGUCCCCUACAUACGUGGAGUCACUGAUCAGUGUGCAGUGAUGGAAGGGCUGCCAGGUGGUUUUGGUCCCUCCACUCUCCUCUGAACCCCAAGCAGAUCCCCCAAAAUAUCUCCACUGUCAUGGAGACACAUGGGGGAAAGGAAAAUGGUAGAGUUUUGGUAUUUGCUGUCCAGCUGCAGCCCACGGUGAGGUGGUUAUGCUGGUGGUGAUGUGUUUGUAGGGGGCUGUUGUCCAGAGAUAACACCAUCAUUAAUGGGGUAUCCUGAGGCUUUGCUAAGGUGGACAGCAGGGCAUGAGGGGUAUGCUGUUUGAAGAAAAGGCAGGUGAGGCCAUCUAAAGAGCAUAUAAGUGGAUGUUUCCUUCUUGGCAAUGGUACAUCCUCCAGGUCUUGGGGCACCAGGAGUCCAAGUC